This 492-nucleotide ribosomal RNA is filed under the name uncultured bacterium. RNAcentral's name for it is "partial 16S ribosomal RNA". It matches the Rfam family "Bacterial small subunit ribosomal RNA", at positions 30 to 507 of the family's 1533-position model. The record is from RNAcentral.
AUUGAACGCUGGCGGUAGGCCUAACACAUGCAAGUCGAACGGCAGCACAGUAAGAGCUUGCUCUUACGGGUGGCGAGUGGCGGACGGGUGAGGAAUACAUCGGAAUCUACUUUUUCGUGGGGGAUAACGUAGGGAAACUUACGCUAAUACCGCAUACGACCUACGGGUGAAAGCAGGGGAUCUUCGGACCUUGCGCGAUUGAAGGAGCCGAUGUCGGAUUAGCUAGUUGGCGGGGUAAAGGCCCACCAAGGCGACGAUCCGUAGCUGGUCUGAGAGGAUGAUCAGCCACACUGGAACUGAGACACGGUCCAGACUCCUACGGGAGGCAGCAGUGGGGAAUAUUGGACAAUGGGCGAAAGCCUGAUCCAGCCAUACCGCGUGGGUGAAGAAGGCCUUCGGGUUGUAAAGCCCUUUUGUUGGGAAAGAAAAGCAGCAGGUUAAUACCCCGCUGUUCUGACGGUACCCAAAGAAUAAGCACCGGCUAACUUCGUG